GCCGGGUGUGGUGGCGGGCGCCUGUAGUCCCAGCUACUUGGGAGGCUGAGGCAGGAGAAUCACUUGAACCCAGGAGUCAGAGGUUGCAGUGAGCUAAGAUGGAGCCACUGCAUUCCAGCCUGGGUGACACAGUGAGACUCUGUCUCCA
This 148-nucleotide signal recognition particle RNA is filed under the name Nomascus leucogenys (northern white-cheeked gibbon). RNAcentral describes it as "Metazoan signal recognition particle RNA". It matches the Rfam family "Metazoan signal recognition particle RNA". Rfam says of the family: The signal recognition particle (SRP) is a universally conserved ribonucleoprotein. It is involved in the co-translational targeting of proteins to membranes. Lineage: Eukaryota; Metazoa; Chordata; Mammalia; Primates; Hylobatidae. The record is from Rfam by way of RNAcentral.